CCUUCCUUGACUUCUAGGCUUCUGAUGGUCACCAGCAUUGCUUGGCGGGUAGCUGCAUCAUUCCAAUCUCUGCCUUCUGGUAUCUGCCAUCACACAGCCUUCCCUUCUCCCUGUGUCUGUCUGUCCAAAUUACCUCUUAUAAGGACACCAAUCACUGGAUCAGCGCCCACCCUAAUCCAUCAUGACCUCAUCUUAAUUACAUCAUCAAAGACCCUGUUUCUUGAGGUUCUAGAUAGAUGCAAAUCUGCGGGGAACAUUUCAGUACACUGGGCGUUUUGAAUCACUCUUCAGGAGUACCAGUCUGAAAGUUAUCAGACUUUUAGACUGCAGAGAUUAGUAAAAAUCUCCCUCCCCACCCCACACAAUUGAUAACCAAACUAGGUUUGCUAACAUUUUACUGAGUCAUUUAAAUAUUUGUUGGUUCUCUGUUAUAUGCCAAGCAUUUUACAUGCGACUGAGUAUAUGAUUGUAAACAAAACAGUCACAAUUAUUGCCUUCCAAAACAUUUUUUUGGGGGAAUUGGUACUAGGGAUUUAACCCAGGGGAAAUUUGCCACCGAGCUUCAUCCCAGACCUUUUUUUGUUGUUGUUAAAUAUUUAACUCACCAAGUGGCUUAGGGCCUUGCUAAAUUAUUGAGGCUGGCCUCAAAUUUGCAAUCUUCCUGCCUCAGCCUCCCAAUUCACUGGGAUUACAGGCAUGUUCCACCAUGUGUGGUGCCCUUCAAAAUACUUUUAAAUAUAAAUACCAUUAACAUAACACUUUUAAAAGGACAUUUCAACACACAAAAAGUUAGGAAAUACAAAUCUCAGCAAUAAUGAUGGUCCUUUCAAAUAGAACAAAGUUAACAUUAAGGAAAAACUCCUUUAACUUAUUCUUACAACAGAAAUCCAGAAAAACACCGUCUCAAACUAGAACCAGAUCUCAGAUUGGCCUUUGUGAAUCACAGUGUUGGAGCUUCCAAAGAAUGACUGUCUCUCAUACCCUUCCAUUCUAUAGCCAGUAACAGAUGGUUAGG
This 1015-nucleotide long non-coding RNA is filed under the name Marmota monax (woodchuck). The record is from RNAcentral. Lineage: Eukaryota; Metazoa; Chordata; Mammalia; Rodentia; Sciuridae.